RNAcentral lists this long non-coding RNA (303 nucleotides) under Nicotiana benthamiana. Its description in RNAcentral is "long non-coding RNA (NBEN_LNC021505)". The record is from RNAcentral. Lineage: Eukaryota; Viridiplantae; Streptophyta; Magnoliopsida; Solanales; Solanaceae.
UCCGAGUGACAUAAACUUUUGCACACACAUCCCAAAUCACCUAAUGAAGCUACUUCAACUCUCGAAAUUCCAUUCUGAUCCUCAGAUCAAAAUCUCACCUAUCAACCAGAAAUCGCCGAAAUACUAGUUUCGCCAAUUCAAGCUAAAUUCCACACUGGACCUCCAAAACCAAUUCCGAUCACGCUCCUAAGUUAUAAAUCAUACGAAGAUGCUAAACAAAUCAUAAAAACUCCGAUCUGAGCUCUUAUACACAUAAGUCAUCUCUUGGUCAAAUCUUUCAAAUUCAAAGUUUUCAACUGUAAC